RNAcentral lists this ribosomal RNA (651 nucleotides) under uncultured fungus. Its description in RNAcentral is "eukaryotic LSU rRNA". The stretch from base 245 to 398 matches the Rfam family "5.8S ribosomal RNA". Lineage: Eukaryota; Fungi. The record is from RNAcentral.
AGUCGUAACAAGGUUUCCGUAGGUGAACCUGCGGAAGGAUCAUUACAGUAUUCUUUUUGCCAGCGCUUAAUUGCGCGGCGAAAAAACCUUACACACAGUGUUUUUUGUUAUUACAAGAACUUUUGCUUUGGUCUGGACUAGAAAUAGUUUGGGCCAGAGGUUUACUGAACUAAACUUCAAUAUUUAUAUUGAAUUGUUACUUAUUUAAUUGUCAAUUUGUUGAUUAAAUUCAAAAAAUCUUCAAAACUUUCAACAACGGAUCUCUUGGUUCUCGCAUCGAUGAAGAACGCAGCGAAAUGCGAUAAGUAAUAUGAAUUGCAGAUUUUCGUGAAUCAUCGAAUCUUUGAACGCACAUUGCGCCCUCUGGUAUUCCAGAGGGCAUGCCUGUUUGAGCGUCAUUUCUCUCUCAAACCUUCGGGUUUGGUAUUGAGUGAUACUCUUAGUCGAACUAGGCGUUUGCUUGAAAUGUAUUGGCAUGAGUGGUACUGGAUAGUGCUAUAUGACUUUCAAUGUAUUAGGUUUAUCCAACUCGUUGAAUAGUUUAAUGGUAUAUUUCUCGGUAUUCUAGGCUCGGCCUUACAAUAUAACAAACAAGUUUGACCUCAAAUCAGGUAGGACUACCCGCUGAACUUAAGCAUAUCAAUAAAGUCG